AUAAAACGGCAAGAGGAAUAUUUUAAUAAAUUGCAAAGGCGUAUCCGCACUGUUCUAUUACUAUGAUGUGUUAUUAUGUCACAGUUAGACGACUUGAAUGUAAAUCUACGUUGAGUUAUUAUAGUUCAUGUUACAGCGGUUCUUCAUACCUCGAUUUCACAACCUCUUUCACUCUUUUCGAACGAGAUUUACCACGUGUGAGUGUCGUUCCUAUUUCUUUCAUUCGAUUGUGUCUCAUUUUGGUAUUAACGUUAUCAUCACAAUGCCACCUAAAUUCGACCCUAAUGAAAUCAAGAUAGUCUAUCUAAGAUGCGUUGGAGGUGAAGUAGGAGCAACUUCAUCUCUGGCUCCAAAAAUUGGUCCGCUCGGUU
Molecule: long non-coding RNA, 371 nt
Organism: Bombus impatiens (common eastern bumble bee)
Lineage: Eukaryota; Metazoa; Arthropoda; Insecta; Hymenoptera; Apidae
Exons: 3
Source: RefSeq, a predicted model, not a curated record